CUACGGGGCGCAGCAGUGAGGAAUUUUGCGCAAUGGGGGAAACCCUGACGCAGCAACGCCGCGUGAGCGAAGAAGGCCCUCGGGUCGUAAAGCUCUGUCAAGUGGGAAAAAAGCCUUUUGGUUAAUAACCAAGAGGUGUGAUGGUACCACUGGAGGAAGCACCGGCUAACUCCGUGCCAGCAGCCGCGGUAAUACGGAGGGUGCAAGCGUUGUUCGGAAUUACUGGGCGUAAAGCGCGUGCAGGCGGUUUGGUAAGUCAGAUGUGAAAGCCCUGGGCUCAACCCGGGAAGUGCAUUUGAAACUGCCUUUCUUGAGUAUGGGAGAGGAGAGUGGAAUUCCCAGUGUAGAGGUGAAAUUCGUAGAUAUUGGGAGGAACGCCCGUGGCGAAGGCGACUCUCUGGACCAAUACUGACGCUGAGACGCGAAAGCGUGGGGAGCAAACAGGAUUAGAUACCCCUGUAGUC
RNAcentral lists this ribosomal RNA (464 nucleotides) under uncultured bacterium. Its description in RNAcentral is "partial 16S ribosomal RNA". It matches the Rfam family "Bacterial small subunit ribosomal RNA", at positions 339 to 795 of the family's 1533-position model. The record is from RNAcentral.